Molecule: non-coding RNA, 767 nt
Organism: Callithrix jacchus (white-tufted-ear marmoset)
Lineage: Eukaryota; Metazoa; Chordata; Mammalia; Primates; Cebidae
Source: RefSeq, a predicted model, not a curated record
CAGCAUCAUACUGAAUGGACAAAAGCUGAAAGCAUUCCCCUUAAAAAUUGGCACAAGAUAAAGAUGCCCUCUCUCCCCACUCCCAUUCAGCAUAGCUUUGAGGGUGUUCUUUGCUCUUGGAUUUCUAAUUCUUUUAAUUGUGAUGUUGGGUAGUUAACUUGAGAUCUCAAUUUUGUUUUUGAGAUGGAGUGUUGUUCUCUCAACCAGGCUGGAGUGCAGUGGUGUGAUAUGGGCUCACUGCAACAUUUAUCUCCUGGGUUCAAGCAGUUCUCCUGCCUCAGCCUCCUGAGUACCUGGGAUUACAGAUGAAGAAGAUGAGACUCAGAGCAAUACAUAAGUUGCCCAAGGUCAGAGAGCAAUGACCAUAUCAGAGCACAGUGUACUCCUCUUGCCGUAUUCAGAGGAUUUGCCUAUGGGCAGCAACAUUAUUCUCUCGUUCUCUGGAUAUUAGGAACAAUAUCACAGGACCGGCGGACAGCCCCAGUCAUAUCUGACCAUAUCAAAGCAUGGUGUACACCUCUUGCCGUAUUAAGAGUAUUUCCCUAUGGGCAGCAACAUUUUCCUCUCCUUCUCUGGAUAUUAGGAACAAUAUUCCAGGACCGGAGUACAGCCCCAGUCACGUCGUGGGUAAUGUCAUCUGUAAUUCUCUAGUUAUUAGAAACAAUAUCACGGGGGGCUUGUGUGCUUUCUGAGAUAUUUGGAGUAAUAUCCUUUCCGUUUUUGAACAUUAGAAACAAUACUACAGUGGUGGUGUACACUUCCUGCGA